AAACAUAAAUCCUGUAUAAAAUAAUUAUCUAUCUUCAAGUGGGGCAAAGGAAAUAUCCUUUGAAAAUUCAAACAAACUGGGUGUUUGUCUUAUAUCCUACCAGAGGAAGCAAAU
Non-coding RNA from Myotis brandtii (Brandt's bat), 114 nucleotides. NCBI's taxonomy places the organism in Eukaryota, Metazoa, Chordata, Mammalia, Chiroptera, Vespertilionidae. The record is from Rfam.